UCAGGGCUACACACGUACUACAAUGGCCGGUACAAAGGGCAGCCACUCAGCGAUGAGGCGCUAAUCCCAUAAAGCCGGUCUCAGUCCGGAUCGCAGUCUGCAACUCGACUGCGUGAAGUUGGAAUCGCUAGUAAUCGUAGAUCAGCAUGCUACGGUGAAUACGUUCCCGGGCCUU
RNAcentral lists this ribosomal RNA (175 nucleotides) under uncultured Desulfurivibrio sp. RNAcentral describes it as "partial 16S ribosomal RNA". It matches the Rfam family "Bacterial small subunit ribosomal RNA", at positions 1208 to 1382 of the family's 1533-position model. Lineage: Bacteria; Pseudomonadati; Thermodesulfobacteriota; Desulfobulbia; Desulfobulbales; Desulfobulbaceae. The record is from RNAcentral.